GCCCUCUUAGCUCAGCGGAUAGAGCAGUGGUUUCCUAAACCACGUGUCCCAGGUUCGAUCCCUGGAGAGGGCG
RNAcentral lists this transfer RNA (73 nucleotides) under Caldilineaceae bacterium SB0661_bin_34. RNAcentral describes it as "tRNA-Arg". It matches the Rfam family "tRNA". From Rfam's summary of the family: Transfer RNA (tRNA) molecules are approximately 80 nucleotides in length. The record is from RNAcentral. Lineage: Bacteria; Bacillati; Chloroflexota; Caldilineae; Caldilineales; Caldilineaceae. RNAcentral also lists the same sequence under 5 other names.